This 561-nucleotide ribosomal RNA is filed under the name uncultured rumen bacterium. Its description in RNAcentral is "bacterial SSU rRNA". It matches the Rfam family "Bacterial small subunit ribosomal RNA", at positions 55 to 616 of the family's 1533-position model. The record is from RNAcentral.
AUGCAAGUCGAACGAGGCUUACCUGCGGAAGUUUUCGGAUGGAAGCGGGUAUGACCGAGUGGCGGACGGGUGAGUAACGCGUGGGGAACCUGCCCCAUUCCGGGGGAUACCGGCUGGAAACGGCCGUUAAUACCGCAUAAGCGCACGUGAAGGCAUCUUCGUGUGUGAAAAACUGAGGUGGAAUGGGAUGGCCCCGCGUCUGAUUAGCCAGUUGGCAGGGUAACGGCCUACCAAAGCGACGAUCAGUAGCCGGCCUGAGAGGGCGACCGGCCACAUUGGGACUGAGACACGGCCCAAACUCCUACGGGAGGCAGCAGUGGGGAAUAUUGCACAAUGGGGGGAACCCUGAUGCAGCGACGCCGCGUGAGUGAGGAAGUAUAUCGGUAUGUAAAGCUCUAUCAGCAGGGAAGAAGAUGACGGUACCUGCACAAGAAGCCCCGGCUAACUACGUGCCAGCAGCCGCGGUAAUACGUAGGGGGCAAGCGUUAUCCGGAUCUACUGGGUGUAAAGGGAGCGUACACGGAAGGUCAAGUCAGGUGUGAAAGGCAGGGGCUCAACUCC